AUCGUAUCAGUCAGAGGAUGUCCAGAUAUCAGAUAUCAGAGGUGUAUACUGCAUGUUGCUUAUGUUCUGAGGAGGAAGUUCUUGCUCUGCAGUGAGAUUUAUGAUCAUAGAGCAAUUUUGCCCCAAAACCACACCUGCACCACUUUCCUGUUCUAACUGUUCUGAACUGAAACACUUCACUGUUUGCAGAAUUUCAGAGGAGCCUUGCUACACUCUAAAAAGUGCUGGGUUAUUUCUUUAAACACAUUGCUGGGUUAUUUGUGCUGGGUCAAAAUUCUGGGUUGUUUGAGGUACUGUAAACACAUAGUUGGGUUGAUCAUGCUGGGUCAAAUGGACUUUCACCACUGAACACGCGGGUUGGGUUAUUUUAACCCAACCGGUUUGUUUAUUUUUCCACUUCAUCGAACUUUCUGGAUUCUUCACUCGUCUCCUCGUCAGGCGGUCACGAAAUUCGCAGCAAGCAGGAUUAUACGAUAUGUGAGAUUCUUGCUGGUGCAGAUGGACAGCUUUGUAAUAUAGAAGUUGAAGGAAAGGCAGCUUUAUACCCUGGUUAAAAUCUUUGAAGAUUUCACAAGACUUCAGGAAGCUACAUCCAGAGGCAGACUUUUUGUAGACUGGGCUACAUUUGCAAGAUGGAAAGGUGCAUUAAGAGCUGGGUGACAUGACUUCAGAUGUUAAAUGGGAGAGUGCUUUCAAAGUCCUGCCCAUUCUGGAGGAAGGGUCCACAGAACCACAACCACAGAAUUCUGGAAGCCAUUCAUUGACAUACAAACCUGUGCAGACCAGCAUGGUGGAUUUGUGCCUUGGGGACGAGACAACGACAUCCCAGACCUUCGCCAUUGUUAUGGGCUGUUCCACUGAAGCCAUUGCCUUGUUGCCUGAAAAUUUCUCCAGCUUGCAGUAUAUUAUAUUGAUGGACUUAAGUCUUCAUGUGUGAAUUUUAUUUUUUCUGUUUUUUUUCUGGCCAGUUGUAACAUGUUUUCAAUUGUCAUAUGUUUGGCUUUGUUUGGCUUAGUUUUAAUAGCACAAUGUUUGGAAUGAUUCUCAUGUGGUAAUCAUUCAUUUUUGAGUGUGCUGCUGCUGCAAUGUUAACGAAGAAUCGGAAUCUACAGUGCCUAGUUUACACAGUUUUGUGUUUUAAAGUAACUGAUCUACUAAAAUUGUUGUUUUAUGUGUCUGUAAUGGUUGGACAAAAUGUUUUACAGCUGCACCCAUUUGAAAAUUGUUUUAAAAAGAAAUAAAACUCGUUAAAUUGA
Long non-coding RNA from Labeo rohita (rohu), 1256 nucleotides. RefSeq lists it as uncharacterized. Lineage: Eukaryota; Metazoa; Chordata; Actinopteri; Cypriniformes; Cyprinidae. The record is from RefSeq and is a predicted model, not a curated record. The transcript is spliced from 5 exons.